Long non-coding RNA from Hibiscus syriacus, 287 nucleotides. RefSeq lists it as uncharacterized. The transcript is spliced from 4 exons. The record is from RefSeq and is a predicted model, not a curated record. Lineage: Eukaryota; Viridiplantae; Streptophyta; Magnoliopsida; Malvales; Malvaceae.
GGUUAUUCCAUUAUUCUUCAACCGGACCCUGGUUCAAUGCGACUUGGUUUACAAAAGGAACCAUAGAAAGAUUUGUUCGAUUUGUGAAUACUCCGGAGAUAUUGGAACGAGUGUACACCGUUGAGUCAGAGAUUUUGCAGAUUGAAGAGGUGAUUGCAAUUCAAAGCAACAACAAUAUAGGGUUGAGUACUGGGGUGGAAGAACAUCACGGAAAACCUUUGGAAAGCAUAGAAGGCAAAAGGGCUACACCGGAUUCCUUGCAGGAGAAAGCCAUCAUCCUUUAUGCA